CCGGUGCCAGCCGCCGCGGUAAUACCGGCAGCUCGAGUGAUGAUCACUAUUAUUGGGCCUAAAGCGUCCGUAGCCGGUCAAACAAGUCCUUCGGUAAAUCCACCCGCUUAACGGGUGGGCUCUCGAGGGAAACUGCUUGACUUGGGGCCGGGAGAUCUGAGGGGUACGUCUGGGGUAGGGGUGAAAUCCUGUAAUCCUAGACGGACCAUCGGUGGCGAAAGCGCCUCAGAAGAACGGACCCGACGGUCAGGGACGAAAGCUAGGGUCUCGAACCGGAUUAGAUACCCGGGUAGUCCUAGCCGUAAACGAUGCUCGCUAGGUGUUGCGAAAGCUGCGUGCUUUUGCUGUGCCGUAGGGAAGCCAUGAAGCGAGCCGCCUGGGAAGUGCGUCCGCAAGGAUGAAACUUAAAGGAAUUGGCGGGGGAGCACUACAACCGGAGGAGCCUGCGGUUU
Molecule: ribosomal RNA, 452 nt
Filed under: uncultured euryarchaeote
Lineage: Archaea; Methanobacteriati; Methanobacteriota
Description: bacterial SSU rRNA
Rfam family: Archaeal small subunit ribosomal RNA
Source: RNAcentral